Molecule: ribosomal RNA, 542 nt
Filed under: Salmonella enterica
Lineage: Bacteria; Pseudomonadati; Pseudomonadota; Gammaproteobacteria; Enterobacterales; Enterobacteriaceae
Description: partial 23S ribosomal RNA
Rfam family: Bacterial large subunit ribosomal RNA
Source: RNAcentral
AUGAGGCGAACCGGGGGAACUGAAACAUCUAAGUACCCCGAGGAAAAGAAAUCAACCGAGAUUCCCCCAGUAGCGGCGAGCGAACGGGGAGGAGCCCAGAGCCUGAAUCAGCAUGUGUGUUAGUGGAAGCGUCUGGAAAGGCGCGCGAUACAGGGUGACAGCCCCGUACACAAAAGCGCAUGUGCUGUGAGCUCGAUGAGUAGGGCGGGACACGUGGUAUCCUGUCUGAAUAUGGGGGGACCAUCCUCCAAGGCUAAAUACUCCUGACUGACCGAUAGUGAACCAGUACCGUGAGGGAAAGGCGAAAAGAACCCCGGCGAGGGGAGUGAAAAAGAACCUGAAACCGUGUACGUACAAGCAGUGGGAGCCCCACCACUAAGCCAGUGGUGAACUCCACAUACGCAUCCUUUGCUGAAGGCAAUGGUUAACGGAGCGAAAGCGACGUUCAACCGCAAAACAAGCAGAGGGGGCUUAGUGGUGGGGUGACUGCGUACCUUUUGUAUAAUGGGUCAGCGACUUAUAUUCUGUAGCAAGGUUAACCG